AGCGAACGCUGGCGGUAGGCCUAACACAUGCAAGUCGAACGGCAGCACAGUAAGAGCUUGCUCUUACGGGUGGCGAGUGGCGGACGGGUGAGGAAUACAUCGGAAUCUACUUUUUCGUGGGGGUUAACGUAGGGAAACUUACGCUAAUACCGCAUACGACCUACGGGUGAAAGCAUGGGAUCUUCUGACCUUGCGCGAUUGAAUGAGCCGAUGUCGGAUUAGCUAGUUGGCGGGGUAAAGGCCCACCAAGGCCACGAUCCGUAGCUGGUCUGAGAGGAUGAGCAGCCACAUGGGAACUGAGACACGGUCCAGACUCCUACGGGAGGCAGCAGUGGGGAAUAUUGGACAAUGGGCGCAAGCCUGAUCCAGCCAUACCGCGUGGGUGAAGAAGGCCUUCGGGUUGUAAAGCCCUUUUGUUGGGAAAGAAAAGCAGCAGGUUAAUACGCCGCUGUUCUGACGGUACCCAAAGAAUAAGCACCGGCUAACUUCGUG
This 492-nucleotide ribosomal RNA is filed under the name uncultured bacterium. RNAcentral describes it as "partial 16S ribosomal RNA". It matches the Rfam family "Bacterial small subunit ribosomal RNA", at positions 29 to 507 of the family's 1533-position model. The record is from RNAcentral.